RNAcentral lists this long non-coding RNA (199 nucleotides) under Elaeis guineensis (African oil palm). RNAcentral describes it as "long non-coding RNA (EGUI_LNC010038)". The record is from RNAcentral. Lineage: Eukaryota; Viridiplantae; Streptophyta; Magnoliopsida; Arecales; Arecaceae.
GAGCGAGCCGUUCGACAUGCCAAUUGACCUCUUAGACGAUUAGGAGGAUUGAAGCAGGUAGAAUGGCAUGCCGAUGGAAAAGGGUUGGGCCUCUUUGGUGGAUACGGGAGUGCACGAGAACAUGCACGUGUGGCCCCUAUUGGAAUGAAUUCCUCCUGACCAUGGAGGCACUCGAGACUCGAAGCCCAUGUCAACACCC